CACGUACUCCCACCGUCCGGAAAUACUUGUCAUUGAAAUGGAUGUAUCUAGAUGUAUUUUAGUUGUAGAUACAUCCUUUUUCAUCCAUUUUAAUGACAAAUAAUUCCGGACGGAGGGAGUAGUUG
Non-coding RNA from Triticum urartu, 125 nucleotides. Lineage: Eukaryota; Viridiplantae; Streptophyta; Magnoliopsida; Poales; Poaceae. The record is from Rfam.